GUGCUUGCUUUGGCAAUACAUAUUCUAAAAUUGGAACAAUACAGAGAAGAUCAGCGUGUCCAUGUGCAAGAAUGACAUGCAAAUCUGUGAACAUGCUAUAUAUUUUU
Pan paniscus (pygmy chimpanzee) is the source of this 107-nucleotide small nuclear RNA. The record is from Ensembl. Lineage: Eukaryota; Metazoa; Chordata; Mammalia; Primates; Hominidae.